UACGGAGGGUGCGAACGUUAAUCGGAAUCACUGGGCGUAAAGCGCGCGUAGGCGGUUUGUUAAGUGGGAUGUGAAAUCCCCAGGCUCAACUUGGGAACUGCGUCUGAUACUGGAUGGCUUGAAUUCGGGAGAGGGAUGCAGAAUUCCAGGUGUAGCGGUGAAAUGCGUAGAUAUCUGGAGGAAUACCGGUGGCGAAGGCGGCAUCCUGGACCGAGAUUGACACUGAUGAGCGAAAGCCAGGGGAGCAAACGGG
RNAcentral lists this ribosomal RNA (253 nucleotides) under uncultured bacterium. RNAcentral's name for it is "partial 16S ribosomal RNA". It matches the Rfam family "Bacterial small subunit ribosomal RNA", at positions 524 to 776 of the family's 1533-position model. The record is from RNAcentral.